AACUCUUAGCAGUGGAUCACUCGGCUUGUGCGUCAAUGAAGAAUGCAACUAGCUGCGAGAACUAAUGUGAAUUGCAGGACACUGAUCAAAGACACUUUGAAAGCACCUUGCGGCCCUGGGUUUAUCCCGGGGCUACGCCUGUCUGAGGGUCG
Molecule: ribosomal RNA, 152 nt
Filed under: Monopterus albus (swamp eel)
Lineage: Eukaryota; Metazoa; Chordata; Actinopteri; Synbranchiformes; Synbranchidae
Description: 5.8S ribosomal RNA (ENSMALG00000002444.1)
Rfam family: 5.8S ribosomal RNA
About the family: 5.8S ribosomal RNA (5.8S rRNA) is a component of the large subunit of the eukaryotic ribosome. It is transcribed by RNA polymerase I as part of the 45S precursor that also contains 18S and 28S rRNA. Functionally, it is thought that 5.8S rRNA may be involved in ribosome translocation.
Source: RNAcentral